Theobroma umbraticum is the source of this 1660-nucleotide RNA transcript. It is a transcript of the gene named Nucleotide-diphospho-sugar transferase family protein, with no coding region annotated. Lineage: Eukaryota; Viridiplantae; Streptophyta; Magnoliopsida; Malvales; Malvaceae. The record is from RefSeq and is a predicted model, not a curated record.
AAGGCUUCUCGGUAUCUCUCUUCCUUCAGUUUUCUCUCUCUUUAAUUCAACUGAGAAAUCGGGAAUCUGGAACAGCCAGCAAGUUAGCGCAACCUCCUCGUCUUCCAAUUUUUCUAUUUUCUAAUAUUUUUAUAAUAAAGAAUGAAAUUAUUGUUUGCUGAUGUCGUUCCCGCAUCAGUUGGCUUUAAGGUUUCACAGGAGACGGUUUCCUCCUCCUCCUGCGGUCUCCACCUGCUGCUCCUUCGCUACUCCUCCUCCCCGUGACUCUUCUUUUCUUUCCACUUCAUCCUCUUCUUCCGUCGCUAUGUCUCCCGAAAUCUCGAUGCUCAUUCGCCGAGCUGCUUUUAUUUUCACCGCCGUCACCCUCUCCGCUUUGCUCCUUUACACUGCUAAUGAUUCCCUCCGCUUCCUUCGUUUGUCGCCCGGUUACCUUUCUUCACCCUCUUUCUCUCGCUUUUUCCCUUACUUGUACGAUAACUCUUCUUCUACGAACUCCAUGCAACAGCUUGAAGAAGUUUUGAAGAACGCUUCCAUGAAGAGUAAUACGGUCAUUUUAACAACUUUAAAUGAUGCCUGGGCGAGUCCCAAUUCAGUUGUUGACCUUUUCCUUCGGAGCUUUAUGCUUGGAGAUGACACACGUAGGCUUUUGGACCAUUUGGUGAUUGUUGCCUUGGAUGAAAAGGCAUAUAAUCGUUGUCAGCUUGUACAUAAGCAUUGCUAUGCUCUUGUCACUGAGGAUGUUGAUUUUCAUCAGGAAGCAUACUUUAUGACCCCACACUACUUGAAGAUGAUGUGGAGAAGGAUUGAUUUCCUGCGAUCUGUCCUUGAGUUGGGUUAUAGUUUUGUUUUCACGGACGCUGAUAUCAUGUGGUUUAGGGAUCCGUUUCCACGGUUCUUCUCAGAUGCUGAUUUCCAGAUUGCAUGCGACAACUUUUUAGGCAGACCUGAUGAUAUGAAUAACAGACCCAAUGGGGGAUUUAACUAUGUAAAGUCCAAUAAUCGGUCAAUAGAAUUCUACAAAUUCUGGUAUUCUUCACGUGAAACUUAUCCAGGAUAUCAUGAUCAAGAUGUCCUUAAUAAGAUCAAGUUUCAUCCUUUCAUCUCAGAGAUUGGACUGAAGAUUAGAUUUUUGGAUACUGCUUAUUUUGGUGGCCUUUGUGAACCUAGCAAAGAUUUGAAUUUAGUGUGCACAAUGCAUGCAAAUUGCUGUUAUGGUAUGGAUAGCAAGCUUCAUGAUCUCAAAAUUAUGCUUCAAGACUGGAGAGCAUUUAUGUCAUUGCCACCAGACCUGAAGAAGGAAUCUAUUUUCUCCUGGAGGGUCCCUCAGAACUGCAGUCUUAGUUCUUUACGCCAUUUUGAUUCCCCACCUCCAGAGAUGAAGGCUCAACAAGAGGAAAAACAUUGAUUGGAAUUGUACAUAUCUUUAAAUUAUUUUCCGUCAAAAGAUAAAUGAGAGGAUGUUAGCAAGAUCAUGUAUCUAGUUGAAGAAGCUUGAAUGUCUAAACUUAACACACGAAAAGGAAGGCUUAAAAGAGUUUGGCUCUUUUUACUAAAAAUAUUUCAUUCACAAGGCAAACUUUUUUGAAUGAAUUGCAAGCCAGAGUACUUGAUAAAUAAAACGCAAAAAAAAAAAAAAAAAAAAAAGAAGGAAAGAAAGAAA